Molecule: unclassified non-coding RNA, 211 nt
Filed under: Glomus sp.
Lineage: Eukaryota; Fungi; Glomeromycota; Glomeromycetes; Glomerales; Glomeraceae
Description: partial contains 5.8S ribosomal RNA and internal transcribed spacer 2
Rfam family: 5.8S ribosomal RNA (bases 1-72)
Source: RNAcentral
GUGAAUCAUCAAAUUUUUGAACGCAAAUUGCACUCUCCGGUUUUCCGGGAGAGUAUGCCUGUUUGAGGUUCUGUUUAAAAAAUAAUCGAGUCUGCUGCUGCGGUGGCGCUUCGGCAUUGGAUCAUCUUCCACCUUUCGGGGUUGUAAGCGACCUAAAAUUUUUCUUAUGAUUUCUACGAACUCUUCUAAGAUUUUUUCUUGUACGUUCGCG